Molecule: ribosomal RNA, 500 nt
Filed under: uncultured bacterium
Lineage: Bacteria
Description: partial 16S ribosomal RNA
Rfam family: Bacterial small subunit ribosomal RNA
Source: RNAcentral
GACGAACGCUGGCGGCGUGCUUAACACAUGCAAGUCGAACGGGUCUGCCCUGUUUUUUGCGGGGUGGGUCAGUGGCGAACGGGUGAGUAACACGUGAGUAACCUGCCCCUCACUUCUGGAUAACCGCUUGAAAGGGUGGCUAAUACGGGGUGUUCUGGCUGUGCCGCAUGGUGUGGCUGGGAAAGAUUCACUUUUGUGGUGUUUUGGUGGGGGAUGGGCUCGCGGCCUAUCAGCUUGUUGGUGGGGUGAUGGCCUGCCAAGGCUUUGACGGGUAGCCGGCCUGAGAGGGUGGGCGGUCACACCGGGACUGAGAUACGGCCCAGACUCCUGCGGGAGGCAGCAGUGGGGGGUAUUGCACAAUGGGCGGAAGCCUGAUGCAGCGACGUCGCGUGAGGGAUGGAGGCCUUCGGGUUGUGAACCUCUUUCGCCGGUGAAGAAGGUCCUGCUCUUUGUGGUGGGGUUGACGGUAGCCGGGUUAUGAAGCGCCGGCUAACUACGUG